Molecule: ribosomal RNA, 407 nt
Filed under: uncultured bacterium
Lineage: Bacteria
Description: partial 16S ribosomal RNA
Rfam family: Bacterial small subunit ribosomal RNA
Source: RNAcentral
AUUGAACGCUGGCGGCAGGCCUAACACAUGCAAGUCGAGCGGAGCGGCGGACGGGUGAGUAAUUCCUAGGAAUCUGCCUGGUAGCGGGGGAUAACGUCCGGAAACGGGCGCUAAUACCGCAUACUAUCAGAUUAGCCUAGGUCUGAUUGGCUAGUUGGUGGGGUAAAGGCCUACCAAGGCGACGAUCCGUAACUGGUCUGAGAGGAUGAUCAGUCACACUGGAACUGAGACACGGGCCAGACUCCUACGGGAGGCAGCAGUGGGGAAUAUUGGACAAUGGGCGAAAGCCUGAUCCAGCCAUGCCGCGGGUGUGAAGAAGGUCGUCGGAUUGUAAAGCACUUUAAGUUGGGAGGCGUUACCAACAGAAUAAGCACCGGCUAACUUCGUGCCAGCCGCCGCGGUAAUUC